GAGAGGAAGAAGAAGGAGGAGAACCAGCAGCUGAAUAGUGUCAAACCUUCCUCAAACUUAGUUAAAUUCAGAAGGUGGUGCGGUCGGGAUUGGACCAUCAUCAAGACAGGAACGACCCACAGGUGGAGCAGGGACGUCACACCAACGAGAUGUCUAGGAUACCCGAUACACGGGAACCUACUUUUGCAAGGAAUUAAGUAGAUGCAUUCUAAAUCACAAUGUAUUUUGUAGGG
Long non-coding RNA from Populus trichocarpa (black cottonwood), 233 nucleotides. RefSeq lists it as uncharacterized. The transcript has 3 exons. NCBI's taxonomy places the organism in Eukaryota, Viridiplantae, Streptophyta, Magnoliopsida, Malpighiales, Salicaceae. The record is from RefSeq and is a predicted model, not a curated record.